GGUCCUAUAGUCUAGUGGUUAGGACGUUGGAUUUUGAUCACCUAUCAAAAGCAUCUUCCGAAGUCCCCGGUUCGAACCCGGGUAGGACCU
RNAcentral lists this transfer RNA (90 nucleotides) under Fusarium poae. It matches the Rfam family "tRNA". Rfam says of the family: Transfer RNA (tRNA) molecules are approximately 80 nucleotides in length. Their secondary structure includes four short double-helical elements and three loops (D, anti-codon, and T loops). Further hydrogen bonds mediate the characteristic L-shaped molecular structure. tRNAs have two regions of fundamental functional importance: the anti-codon, which is responsible for specific mRNA codon recognition, and the 3' end, to which the tRNAs corresponding amino acid is attached (by aminoacyl-tRNA synthetases). tRNAs cope with the degeneracy of the genetic code in two manners: having more than one tRNA (with a specific anti-codon) for a particular amino acid; and 'wobble' base-pairing, i.e. permitting non-standard base-pairing at the 3rd anti-codon position. RNAcentral also lists the same sequence under 1 other name. The record is from Rfam by way of RNAcentral. Lineage: Eukaryota; Fungi; Ascomycota; Sordariomycetes; Hypocreales; Nectriaceae.